UGGAACUGGACUACCUCGAGGAAAUCCAUUGGUGAUCUUCGACUCUCCAUCAUAUCCAAGCUUGUUGCCCUCCUUCUCCUCCUCCCUCCAGAUGCAAUGGGAUCCACUCUUCUCGUGUUCUUCAUAAGGCUUUGGGGAUUGGGUCUACCUUGCAAUAAUGGAAGCCGAGGGAUUUGGUUGGAGAUAACUCACGAGAUAAGGAUAGCACUGAAAUUGUUGCAAUUCAGGAGCAAGAGGAACUCGCAGGCUGGGCAGCUGGCAGGACUUGGUCUUCACCAAGGCCUGUUACAUACUUGGCAUGGUACGAGGCCAACAAACCUGGACUGAGUUGAUUGCUAUACAAGAACGUAUGGUGAGAUAAAAUAUUGAAUACUGAUGAGCGUUCUGCAUUUUGCAGGUCUGGUUCUAUUCCCUUGGUAGCUGGAAGGGCGUCAUGGCAUUGCCUGCGCUGGUGGUGGUCGAUGAGAUUAUCACAAAUGGAGAAGUUUAUCUGAACCAUUAUGUAAACAAUGCAGCAUGGACUUAUUGUAGAACUGAGAUGAGAAAAUGAAAAUCAGCAGCAGUGAACGACAGAUGUCAAUUUUGACUCCUUCAGGUGAUGCGUGUGUAUACUGAAGCUGCAUUUACUGUAUAUUGCUGGUAUUUAGUACAAACAAAAUUCAAUGAAUGCCAUGCAGAUGAUUCCUUCGACUGCUGCUGCUGCUUCAGGUGAUUGAUCACUGUGGUAAUUCACUUCUUGUGUCAAACUUCAAACGCAAUAGGGGGCUGGAGGGAGGCAACAAAAUUCCUGUCAAUCAGUAGGUGUUUUUAUGUGCGUGCCUUCAGUUGUUCAGGUAGCUGCAUUCCAGUCGUGUGGUUCUUUAAGGCAUUUGAAUCUAACAAUGUUUCUUUGUCUAUGAGCUGAAUGCCUGUGGACCUAUGAGAUCCAAUUCAUGCCGGUUGCGUACUCAGUGCAUACCUAUAAUCCUGUAGCUCAAUGGUCUUUGAUAAAAUAUUAUUCCUGUAACUGGUAGCAGCAAACAAGGUCGUUAAAGAUUUGAUCGGAAUAUAUAUGGCAGUGAAUAAAUAUUGAUAGUUGGUCGAAAUAAAUAAGUAGUAUAUAUAUAGUAUAGAUGGGUAAAGGUGCUUAUUAAUUUAGUAUGAACAAGUUGCAAUAUUAUAGAGCUUAUAUGUUUUCUUCCUUCCGUCUAUAAUGGUAUUGUUCCGACUAUUCUUUUCUCAUGGAACAGGUUAUAUGACGCUAGCUUAUGACAUAUUGUGCUUGCAUUUGUAGUAUCCAGAGAUGAAUGUAACAUGUUCUAAAAUAAGUUGAACAAACAAGUUCUAAAGUAGCUUUCAUGCAAUUUCCUAAACAAUGUAAACAACACACAUGCACAUAAGGGAUAACGUCAUUGCAAACGAGGGUAGUAGAACUUAUUUUUAUAUAUCAUUUUUUAUUUUUUCCGUGGCAAUGCACAUGCAUUCAGCUAAAGUAAAAAUUGUCAGGAUGCACUUCAGUCACAGUUGAGUAGCGGAAUCUUAUUGUAGUAAAAUUGUCUGAACCAUUUCAAUAAAUUGUAGUACAACUUAUUGGAGCGACUGACAUAAUAAAUUCAGGCACAAUUGCAUUAACAAGUGAGUACUGAGUACUGAGUAGCAAAGUGAUUGUUGCCGGUUCAAAUAUCAGAAUGUGUCCUAGCAGCAUAAGACCAUUAAAACGAGUGGUACUGUUAGAGUACGUAAUGGGCCUAAUGAGCCCGUUAGUCUUGGGGUUAAUUAGAGAUAAGGGUCGCUUGCUUAGGGGUCAAGUAAGC
RNAcentral lists this long non-coding RNA (1793 nucleotides) under Triticum aestivum (bread wheat). Its description in RNAcentral is "long non-coding RNA (TAES_LNC015975)". Lineage: Eukaryota; Viridiplantae; Streptophyta; Magnoliopsida; Poales; Poaceae. The record is from RNAcentral.